UACGUAGGGGGCGAGCGUUGUCCGGAAUUACUGGGCGUAAAGGGCGCGUAGGCGGCCUGUUAAGCCCGCUGUGAAAGACCGAGGCUCAACCUCGGGGUGUCAGCGGGGACUGGGAGGCUGGAGUUUUGGAGAGGAGCGGGGAAUCCCUGGUGUAGCGGUGGAAUGCGUAGAGAUCAGGGGGAACACCGAUGGCGAAGGCACCGCUCUGGCCGAAGACUGACGCUGAGGCGCGAAAGCUGGGGGAGCGAACGGG
This 253-nucleotide ribosomal RNA is filed under the name uncultured bacterium. RNAcentral's name for it is "partial 16S ribosomal RNA". It matches the Rfam family "Bacterial small subunit ribosomal RNA", at positions 524 to 776 of the family's 1533-position model. RNAcentral also lists the same sequence under 1 other name. The record is from RNAcentral.